AAACUGACCGGUGGACAAACCGGAGAGUGGGAUGACGUCAAGUCCUCAUGGCCCUUAUGGGUAGGGCUUCACACGUCAUACAAUGGUCGGUACAGAGGGCUGCACCUAAGGGAGCCAAUCCUUUAAAACCGAUCGUAGUCCGGAUUGAGGUCUGCAACUCGACCUCAUGAAGUCGGAAUCGCUAGUAAUCGCGGAUCAGCAUGUCGCGGUGAAUACGUUCCCGGGUCUU
This 229-nucleotide ribosomal RNA is filed under the name uncultured Alcaligenaceae bacterium. RNAcentral describes it as "partial 16S ribosomal RNA". It matches the Rfam family "Bacterial small subunit ribosomal RNA", at positions 1142 to 1382 of the family's 1533-position model. The record is from RNAcentral. Lineage: Bacteria; Pseudomonadati; Pseudomonadota; Betaproteobacteria; Burkholderiales; Alcaligenaceae.